This 165-nucleotide ribosomal RNA is filed under the name uncultured bacterium. RNAcentral's name for it is "partial 16S ribosomal RNA". It matches the Rfam family "Bacterial small subunit ribosomal RNA", at positions 610 to 774 of the family's 1533-position model. The record is from RNAcentral.
UAACCGCAGACGUGCAUCGGAAACCGGGCGACUUGUGUGCAGAAGAGGACAGUGGAACUCCAUGUGUAGCGGUGGAAUGCGUAGAUAUAUGGAAGAACACCAGUGGCGAAGGCGGCUGUCUGGUCUGCAACUGACGCUGAGGCUCGAAAGCAUGGGUAGCGAACA